AUUGAACGCUGGCGGCAUGCUUUACACAUGCAAGUCGAACGGCAGCGCGGGCUUCGGCCUGGCGGCGAGUGGCGAACGGGUGAGUAAUACAUCGGAACGUGCCCAGUAGUGGGGGAUAGCUCGGCGAAAGCCGGAUUAAUAUCGCAUACGACCUGAGGGUGAAAGCGGGGGAUCUUCGGACCUCGCGCUAUUGGAGCGGCCGAUGGCAGAUUAGCUAGUUGGUGGGGUAAAGGCCUACCAAGGCGACGAUCUGUAGCUGGUCUGAGAGGACGACCAGCCACACUGGGACUGAGACACGGCCCAGACUCCUACGGGAGGCAGCAGUGGGGAAUUUUGGACAAUGGGCGAAAGCCUGAUCCAGCAAUGCCGCGUGUGUGAUGAAGGCCUUCGGGUUGUAAAGCACUUUUGGCGGGAACGAAAAGGACUGUGCCAAUACCACGGUUCGAUGACGGUACCCGCAGAAUAAGCACCGGCUAACUACGUG
Molecule: ribosomal RNA, 484 nt
Filed under: uncultured bacterium
Lineage: Bacteria
Description: partial 16S ribosomal RNA
Rfam family: Bacterial small subunit ribosomal RNA
Source: RNAcentral